UAGAAUUAUGCUGGCAUUGUGUUCU
This 25-nucleotide non-coding RNA is filed under the name Mus musculus (house mouse). Lineage: Eukaryota; Metazoa; Chordata; Mammalia; Rodentia; Muridae. The record is from RNAcentral.